Molecule: ribosomal RNA, 498 nt
Filed under: uncultured bacterium
Lineage: Bacteria
Description: partial 16S ribosomal RNA
Rfam family: Bacterial small subunit ribosomal RNA
Source: RNAcentral
AUUGAACGCUGGCGGCAUGCCUUACACAUGCAAGUCGAACGGUAACAGGUCUUCGGAUGCUGACGAGUGGCGAACGGGUGAGUAAUACAUCGGAACGUGCCUAGUAGUGGGGGAUAACUACUCGAAAGAGUGGCUAAUACCGCAUGAGAUCUACGGAUGAAAGCAGGGGAUCGCAAGACCUUGUGCUACUAGAGCGGCCGAUGGCAGAUUAGGUAGUUGGUGGGAUAAAAGCUCACUAAGCCGACGAUCUGUAGCUGGUCUGAGAGGACGAUCAGCCACACUGGAACUGAGACACGGCCCAGACUCCUACGGGAGGCAGCAGUGGGGAAUUUUGGACAAUGGGCGAAAGCCUGAUCCAGCAAUGCCGCGUGCAGGAUGAAGGCCUUCGGGUUGUAAACUGCUUUUGUACGGAACGAAAAGCCCCGGGUUAAUACCCUGGGGUCAUGACGGUACCGUAAGAAUAAGCACCGGCUAACUACGUGCCAGCCGCCGCCGUAA